RNAcentral lists this ribosomal RNA (492 nucleotides) under uncultured bacterium. Its description in RNAcentral is "partial 16S ribosomal RNA". It matches the Rfam family "Bacterial small subunit ribosomal RNA", at positions 29 to 507 of the family's 1533-position model. The record is from RNAcentral.
AGUGAACGCUGGCGGUAGGCCUAACACAUGCAAGUCGAACGGCAGCACAGUAAGAGCUUGCUCUUACGGGUGGCGAGUGGCGGACGGGUGAGGAAUACAUCGGAAUCUACUUUUUCGUGGGGGAUAACGUAGGGAAACUUACGCUAAUACCGCAUACGACCUACGGGUGAAAGCAGGGGAUCUUCGGACCUUGCGCGAUUGAAUGAGCCGAUGUCGGAUUAGCUAGUUGGCGGGGUAAAGGCCCACCAAGGCGACGAUCCGUAGCUGGUCUGAGAGGAUGAUCAGCCACACUGGAACUGAGACACUGUCCAGACUCCUACGGGAGGCCGCAGUGGGGAAUAUUGGACAAUGGGCGCAAGCCUGAUCCAGCCAUACCGCGUGGGUGAAGAAGGCCUUCGGGUUGUAAAGCCCUUUUGUUGGGAAAGAAAAGCAGCAGGUUAAUACCCCGCUGUUCUGACGGUACCCAAAGAAUAAGCACCGGCUAACUUCGUG